Molecule: ribosomal RNA, 535 nt
Filed under: Oreobates ibischi
Lineage: Eukaryota; Metazoa; Chordata; Amphibia; Anura; Strabomantidae
Description: partial 16S ribosomal RNA
Source: RNAcentral
GCUUGAGAAAAGAAUUUUAGUUCCCCCUAAAGUUACAUUAAUAGUCCUAAAUAAGCCCUUAACUUUAGAGUAAUUCAAAUAGGGUACAGCCUAUUUGAGACAGGGUACAACCUUGACCAACGGGUAACCAACCCUAAAAAUAAACUAAGUGGGCCUAAAAGCAGCCACCUUAAAAAGCGUCAAAGCUUUCCUUUUAUUUUUUCCCCCAAAUUCCCCCCUUCCCUCCGACCCCUUCAACACUAUCGAGCACUUCCAUGAAACCAUGGAACUUAUUAUGUUAAAACUAGUAACAAGAAGUAGCCCUUCUCUUAAAUGUAAGUAUAACUCAGCAGGGACCCACCACUGAUAAUUAAUAACAUAAAGUAACACCUUCUCUAGAAAACCUUACUUUUUCCUUUAUUAACCUAACACAAGUACAUUCCAAGAAAGAUUAAAAGAAAAAGAAGGAACUCGGCAAACAUCGGCCCCGCCUGUUUACCAAAAACAUCGCCUCUUGUAUCCCAUAAGAGGUCCAGCCUGCCCAGUGACUUUUGUU